UGCUCGCCGAAUGUAGCGGUCAAGCAUGGGGGCCUUUGGAGCCCCAGACCCCAGUUCGAAUCUGGGCCGGGCUACCA
This 77-nucleotide transfer RNA is filed under the name Nitrososphaerales archaeon. RNAcentral's name for it is "tRNA-Gln". It matches the Rfam family "tRNA". From Rfam's summary of the family: Transfer RNA (tRNA) molecules are approximately 80 nucleotides in length. The record is from RNAcentral. Lineage: Archaea; Thermoproteati; Nitrososphaerota; Nitrososphaeria; Nitrososphaerales.